CGAAGCUCAGCUCUGGACGCUCCGCCGGCCGUCGCCCACAGCCUCGCGCGGGCCGAGUCGCUGGAGCAGAGCCGGGCGGGGGUCCCGCGGCGUGAUUUUCCACCAGCCCGGAGGAGAGAGUCGCCGAGAGUGCAGACAUUGCUGCACCAGGGCUGCACUUGACUGAAGAGGAUGCCAAACUGACCCGGAAAAUGACUCAGUGGAGGAGCAAGCUCACCCCAAAUCACCGUGCACACGGUAACAUGGCAGAGACCUCGGAAUUUGGAGGAGGAUGAAGGUGAAAAGCCCACAAGUCCUCUCAUUUCACAGGCCCUGCUGGGAGCUUCCACAUGUCCACAUGUGCCGGAGAAGUGAGCCUUUCAUGAAGCACACGUGAUGUGACCCCAGGCUUCUGCAGUUUGUGUGGGUGAAACAACACAAAAAAGACCAUAAAAUAAAAUUUAAAAUAAUGAUAGAAAAUCGAGCCCCUACUUUUUAUGUAUAAGAU
Octodon degus (degu) is the source of this 487-nucleotide long non-coding RNA. RefSeq lists it as uncharacterized. The record is from RefSeq and is a predicted model, not a curated record. NCBI's taxonomy places the organism in Eukaryota, Metazoa, Chordata, Mammalia, Rodentia, Octodontidae. The transcript has 3 exons.